GUGAUGGAUGGACACUCAUAUACAGAUUGUGCUAUUCUCUACACAGUCUUAAGAUUCCCUGAUGCGUCUCUGAUGCCUGCUUGAUGAACUGUGCCAAGAACUUCUGAUGUUACUAUUGGAGUCAAGUGAAGUGACCUCAAGACCUGCUGGUGAUAAUAAAUGAGCUCUUCCAACGUAUCCAUAUCAAAAUGGAGAGGGAAAGUUUCCAGCCAAGACUCCUACACACUUUGUGCACAUAUGUGUCAUGACAAAAAAAACAAAUCAUUUUUAAAAUGGUCAAAUUGGAGGAAAAAUUCUGAUAUCUUUGAUUUCAUUAUUUUGACGAGCGCCUGAUUUCACCACGAUGCCGCACAUGUAUGUAAACAGACACUCCACAUAAUCUUACAGUAACGGACUUGUCGGAGGUUUUCGCCUGCCAGUUAACUCCUUGUGAAAUAACAUGUUUUGAUUUUUUUACAGUUGCAAAAAAAAAUUUAAUGUGGUAUGUGCCAAUGUCCUUGAUGCAAUCUUCUUUGCGAUGAACGUUUUCCAUCUUGCAUUUACAAAGAAAUAAAGCAAUUGGUACAUGGAAA
This is a long non-coding RNA of Aplysia californica (California sea hare), 572 nucleotides long. RefSeq lists it as uncharacterized. The transcript has 3 exons. Lineage: Eukaryota; Metazoa; Mollusca; Gastropoda; Aplysiida; Aplysiidae. The record is from RefSeq and is a predicted model, not a curated record.